This is a long non-coding RNA of Leptinotarsa decemlineata (Colorado potato beetle), 369 nucleotides long. The record is from RefSeq and is a predicted model, not a curated record. NCBI's taxonomy places the organism in Eukaryota, Metazoa, Arthropoda, Insecta, Coleoptera, Chrysomelidae.
GGUAUAGAGGCGUGGUCCUUGAAAAAGAAGAAAAUGGAGACUAUUCAUGUCAGACCGUCGAUUUCGGAAAUCAAAUAGUAGUCAAAAGCAAGGAUAUCAGGAGGUUUCAGGAACAUCUGAAAAACAUACCCAUCUUAGGAAUUUCCUGUGAAUGUGUUGGUAUCCCGUACAAUGACGCUGUUCUCAACAAAUUGAAAGAGCUUAUACCCGAAGGGGAAGAAGUGACUGUGGUAGUCAAGGGAUUUGAAGAACUGAAAUACCAAAUAGAACUACCGAAUGUGUAUAAAAUUUUGAAGGAAGAGGGUUUGUGUUGAACUGAAAUCCUCUUGUAGAUCAUUUUUUCUAUGAAAAAAUUUUUUAAAGACUAAA